UAUUAAUAAAAUUGUUUUAGUAUGUUUUUUGUUUUAAUUGAUUUUAAUUAAGUAAAUUUAAGUUAUUGUAAAAUAAAUUGAUUAGAUUAUUUUUACUAUAGUGAAUUAGUACUGUAAAGGAAUUUUAUAAUUAUAUGUUUAUAAUUAAUAAAAAGGUAAUUUUAUUUAUUGUAUCUUGUGUAUCAGAGUAUAUUUAAGUGGAUUAUAAAUUUUUUUUCUCGAAUUUAAAAGAUUUAAUUAAAAAUAUUAGUUAUUGUUGUAUAAUUAUUAAUAAUUUUUAAUUGGUAAUGAAAUGUUAUUCGUUUUUAAGGAUAUCUAGUUUUUUAAUAAAUGAAUUUAAUUCAGAAAAUACAAUUUAUUGAAUAAUUUAUUAUUUGAAUAUUUUAUGUUUUUAAUUUUAAGAGGGAUAAACUUUUUAAAAUAUAAUUAUAAUAAUAUUAUAUGGGAAGGAUUUUAUAAAUUUAGAAUUUGUUAAUGAUUAAAGGAUGUUAAAAUUUAAUUCUUGAUUUAAGUAAUUUUAAAUUUUUAUUUAAUUUUUAUAUUAAAAUAUUGGAUUUAAUUGAGAAAUUUUAGAGAAUAUGAUUUAAUUAGUAAAAUUUUAAUUUAUUUUGUUAGAUUAAUUGAUGUGUUAAUAUGAAGAAUUAGGCAAAAAUUUUGCUCACCUGUUUAUUAAAAACAUGGUUUCUUGUAUUUAUUUAAGAGAUUUGGCCUGCCCACUGAAUAAAUUUUGAAGGGCCGCAGUAUAUUGACUGUGCAAAGGUAGCAUAAUCAUUAGUCUUUUAAUUGAAGGCUGGUAUGAAUGGUUGGAUGAGGUAAAUUCUGUUUUAUAUUAAUUUAUGUUGAAUUUAGAUUUUAAGUAAAAAGACUUAAAUAAUAUUAAGGGACGAGAAGACCCUAUAGAUUUUAAUAAGUGUAUUAAUUAAUUGAGUUAAAGUAUAAUUUUUGAUUAUUAAAAAAUUUAUUUAAUUGGGGUGAUUGGAAGAUAAACUUAACUCUUCUUUAUUUUUAAUAAUAUAAUUAGUUAUUUGAUCCAUAUUUAAUGAUUAAAAGAUUAAAUUACCUUAGGGAUAACAGCAUAAUUCUUUUUGAGAGUUCAUAUUGAGAAAGGAGAUUGUGACCUCGAUGUUGGAUUAAGAUUAGUUUUGGGUGUAGAUGUUCAUUAACUAGGUCUGUUCGACCUUGAAAAUCUUACAUGAUCUGAGUUUAAACCGGCGUGAGCCAGGUUGGUUUCUAUCUUUAAUUAAUUUAAAUAUUUUAGUACGAGAGGACCAAGUAUUUUAAAUAAUUUUUGUUUUAAAAGAAUACUAUUAAUUG
Molecule: ribosomal RNA, 1314 nt
Filed under: Hierodula zhangi
Lineage: Eukaryota; Metazoa; Arthropoda; Insecta; Mantodea; Mantidae
Description: 16S ribosomal RNA
Rfam family: Archaeal large subunit ribosomal RNA (bases 1067-1225)
Source: RNAcentral